RNAcentral lists this ribosomal RNA (254 nucleotides) under uncultured bacterium. RNAcentral describes it as "partial 16S ribosomal RNA". It matches the Rfam family "Bacterial small subunit ribosomal RNA", at positions 524 to 776 of the family's 1533-position model. The record is from RNAcentral.
UACGUAGGGUGCGAGCGUUGUCCGGAAUUAUUGGGCGUAAAGAGCUCGUAGGCGGUGUGUCACGUCGGCCGUGAAAACCUGCAGCUUAACUAUGGGCGUGCGGUCGAUACGGGCAUCACUGGAGUUCGGCAGGGGAGACUGGAAUUCCUGGUGUAGCGGUGAAAUGCGCAGAUAUCAGGAGGAACACCGGUGGCGAAGGCGGUUCUCUGGGCAUUACCUGACGCUGAGGAGCGAAAGUGUGGGGAGCGAACAGG